UUACGGUCAUAUCACGUUGAAGCACCAGUUCACGUACGAUCACCGAAGUUAAGCAAGAUGUACUUAGAUGAGUGACUACUUGGGAAUAACAGCUGCUGCAAG
Acanthosepion pharaonis is the source of this 102-nucleotide non-coding RNA. Lineage: Eukaryota; Metazoa; Mollusca; Cephalopoda; Sepiida; Sepiidae. The record is from the annotation of a GenBank genome assembly.